This is a non-coding RNA of Brachypodium distachyon (stiff brome), 125 nucleotides long. NCBI's taxonomy places the organism in Eukaryota, Viridiplantae, Streptophyta, Magnoliopsida, Poales, Poaceae. The record is from Rfam.
GGUUUACUCCCUCCGUUUCAUAAUUUUUGUCUUAAAUUUGUCAAAAAAUGUAUGUAUUUAUUCCUAAAAAGUGUCUAAAUACAUGUAAUAUUUCGACAGGAAUUAUGAAACGGAGGGAGUAGUUU